CCCCAUUUCUUUCUAGUUACAUUUUUAUUCUUUCACUCUUUUUUUCAAGUUGCAGACUCCUAAUGAAGAUUAAGAAAUGUAUCUUCAUAUACAUUUCAUGUUAGUAUAUAACUACAGUUUGCUUUAACAGGUUUGUAAUGACAUCUGACAUUCGUCACCUCUUUAGACUUUCAAAAUGCUUUUACUUUUCCUUCUCUCUCAGGAUCACAAAAACCCUGUGAGCUGAACAGUGCAAGUAUAACUAUCUCUUUUGAAAAACCAGUCGUUUUAAUUGUUUUGGCAAGUUCCCAAGUGAAUAUUGCAAACGAACAUUGCAAAUGAAUAAUGAAAUCUUUACUUUUGUAUUUUCUCUCAAAGUUUUAUAAAAUAAACUCGUAUUUUUGAAAAGUUCUAUAUUUACAGAAAAGUCAUAAAGAUAGUAGUACAGAGAGUUCUCAUAUAUUUCACACCCAGUUUCCCCUAUAAUUAAUAUCUUAUAUUAGUAAGGUAUAUUUGUCACAAUUAAUGAACCAAUAUUGCUACAUUAUGAUUAAUGACAUUCCACACUUUACUCCUAUUUCCUUUGUUUUUACCUAAUGCCCUUUUUCUGUUCCAGGAUCCCAUUGUAAUAAUCAACCUUGAUAGUCUGUAAUUGAUGAUUUGACAUCUUGAAGUCACGGGCCAAAACUGUUGACGUCCCUACCACCCCUGUGGUUUUAUAGCACACAGAAAUCAUAUUACUAACCUUCCAACUACUAAAUAAAGAAGUGGUGGGGAGUUGUCUGGUGGGGAUGUCCCCUACUUAGCGGGAAGCAAAUACAGAUGUUGGAGUUUGUGUUGGAAGGCUUCUAGGGUGUGAAGUGCAUGGUGCCCUUGCCGGACAUUUUCCACAGGCCUCAUAAGAGACAUCACUGAGGGAAAAUGGAUGGGACUGCAUCAGAAACUUUCUUUCUCCAAGUUUUCUCACCAUAAAGUCACAGCACUUCUCCAAGCCUCACUUCCCCUAUUUGAAAACUGGGAUAAAACUCCUAAAUCAGCAACUGAAAAGGAUUAAAUGAGAUUGUGGAGAAGCAGCACACUAAGUGUAACAGAGAAAAGAGCCUCCUGAUGUUCUGGGUUUGUCCAGUUGGCUGAAGAAAUUGCCCACACCUUUGACCUAGAAAAACAAAGAGUCUAGACCAGUACUGUCCAAUAUGGAUGCCACCAGCCACAUGAGGCGAUUAAGCACUUGGAAUGUGGCUAGUCAUGUACAAUAUUGUAAAAUACACACCGGAUAUUGAAGACAAUAUGAAGAAAAGAAUGUAAAAUAUCUCACUAAUAUUUUUUUUAAAUAUAUGUCAAACGAUGAUGAUAGUUUUGAUAUACUGGGUUAAAGGAUGUAUAUUUUACCAUUAAAAAUAAAUUAUAAAUUUUUACCGUUAAAAAUUUAAAAAAUGACUGUUGC
This is a long non-coding RNA of Delphinapterus leucas (beluga whale), 1423 nucleotides long. RefSeq lists it as uncharacterized. The record is from RefSeq and is a predicted model, not a curated record. Lineage: Eukaryota; Metazoa; Chordata; Mammalia; Artiodactyla; Monodontidae.